RNAcentral lists this ribosomal RNA (465 nucleotides) under uncultured bacterium. Its description in RNAcentral is "bacterial SSU rRNA". It matches the Rfam family "Bacterial small subunit ribosomal RNA", at positions 338 to 795 of the family's 1533-position model. The record is from RNAcentral.
CCUACGGGCCGCACCAGUGGGGAAUAUUGCACAAUGGGCGCAAGCCUGAUGCAGCCAUGCCGCGUGUAUGAAGAAGGCCUUCGGGUUGUAAAGUACUUUCAGCGGGGAGGAAGGUGUUGUGGUUAAUAACCACAGCAAUUGACGUUACCCGCAGAAGAAGCACCGGCUAACUCCGUGCCAGCAGCCGCGGUAAUACGGAGGGUGCAAGCGUUAAUCGGAAUUACUGGGCGUAAAGCGCACGCAGGCGGUCUGUCAAGUCGGAUGUGAAAUCCCCGGGCUCAACCUGGGAACUGCAUUCGAAACUGGCAGGCUAGAGUCUUGUAGAGGGGGGUAGAAUUCCAGGUGUAGCGGUGAAAUGCGAAGAGAUCUGGAGGGAUACCGGUGGCGAAGGAGGCCCCCUGGACAAAGACUGACGCUCAGGUGCGAAAGCGUGGGGAGCAAACAGGAUUAGAUACCCCGGUAGUC